Long non-coding RNA from Bos taurus (domestic cattle), 3590 nucleotides. NCBI's taxonomy places the organism in Eukaryota, Metazoa, Chordata, Mammalia, Artiodactyla, Bovidae. The record is from Ensembl.
UUUAGAUACUGGAUCAGUAUCUACCAAGAAUGACAAAAUUAUGAGUCCCAGAACAGGCCUGGUUAUAAUAAGCACUCAAUAUAUACUUUUGAAAGAAUAAGUGGACUGACUACAGUUUAUCACAAGAUUUAGGUGGCACUAGUGGUAAAGAACCCGCCUACCAAUAGACAUAAGAGAUGCAGGUUCGAUCCCUGGGCUGGGAAGAUCCCCUGGAAAAAGAAAUGACAACCCGCUCCAGUAUUCUUGCUUAGAGAAUCCCCAUGGAUAGAAGAGCCUGGCGGGCUACAGUCCAUGGGGUCACAAAGAGUCAGACAUGACUGAAGUGACUUAACACGCACACAGAACAAGAUCACUUUAACCUCUGUUCACUUUGGAGGAGCGAGCAGUUACUAUAAGAGGGGCGAUCACUCAGGAUUGUCUUUUGUCACCUCUAAAUAAAAGGACAACUGAGAAGGGGUUGGAGAAACGUGGGGCAUUGGGUGAGCAAGAUGGCUCCUCUCUUGGACACCAUCAAGGAAGUGUCUUGUGUGGCGUCAUGCUCAGAGCCAGAAUUUGGUUGACUUCUUGUCCUUUUUUUUCUUAAUUUAUGUAUUUUUAAUUGAAGGAUAAUUCCAAUAUUGUGUUGGUUUCUGCCAUACAUCAAUAUGGAUCAAUAUGGAUCAGCCAUAGGUGUUCAUAUGUCCCCUCUCUCUUGAGCCUCCCUCCCACCUCCCACCCCAUCCUACCCCUCUAGGUUGUCACAGAGACCCGGUUUGAGUUCCCUUGACUUUUAAGAGGUUCUAGAGUUCUCCUGAGAUGGGAGCUGUAGUGUAGGUUAGUGAUUCUCAACAUAACCUAUUGUGUUUUGAAAUGUUUACUUUUCAAUAGCCCAUUUACCCUCUUGUCUGUGUGUGUGUUAGUCUCUCAGUCGUGUCCAACUCUUUAAAACCCCAUGGAUUGGGGCCCACCAGGCUCCUCCGUCCAUGGAAUUUUCUAGGCAAGAAUACUGGAGUGGGUUGCCGUUCCCUUCUCCAGAGGAUCUUACUGACCCACGGAUUGAACCUGGGUCUCCCUCACUGCAGGCAGACUCUUUACCAUCUGAGUCACUAGGGAAGACUACCCUGUAUUCUAUUGGAAGCUAAAACUAAACUAACACUAAAACUGAUAGUAAAGUCGUAUGCUUUUGCUAUAAAAAGUAUGAGUUCCAUGUUUCUGAUAUGAUAAUACUCCUACAGGGUGAUUCAUAGGUUAAACCAUUAGAACAGAAAAGAGGAAAUAUUUUUACUGGGCUAUGCUCUUCUUUUUAAAAACAAAUACUAUUUUUUAAAAAACCAUAUCACUGGCAUAGCAUUCAGCUCUUUUCACAAUUGAUUGUCUUUAAGCAUACAAUCUUUAACUGUGAAAUCAUUCAGAGAUAAUUAUUUUGGGGAGGAAAAUGACAAGAGAAAUAGUUAUGUAGUCAGUUUUUGAUUAUCCAUGAUGAUUUUGCCACUGGAAUUAAAAUCCCUUUUUAACAAAUAGCAACAGUUACCAUCUCUUUCUUUGCUAACUCUUAGAACAAAAUGUUUUAUUAGGAAACAGAACUGAAUUUUAUUUCUCCUCCUGAGCCUUGGGUCUGUCUUGUAUUUUUACUUUCUGUAGCACCUGAUGUUUCCCCCAUUUCAUCAGUGUGCUGGAGCUGGCUUGUACUGCGUGGAAAACCAAUCGUGUGUAUCUCUUUCCAGCUCCAUGUUCUGUUUCCCCACCUUGGUACCCUGAAGUCUGCCCCAAUGGGAGUAUUUAUACCAUGGAAAUUGACAAAGGCUGCAAAUCAGGGCUUUCCCCCAGAGUUAAUUAUUAAGCAUUUUGCCAGCACACUACUGCCCCACUCAGUCCUCACUUUUGUUUUGGAUAAAUAUCUCUAAACUGUAUUAUAUGUCAGCCUUUUUACAAACAGAGGAUGUGAAGGAAAAAGUCACUCUUCCUUGGCCUCAUUUUCAUGAUUCAUAUAUCUGUGUUUGCUUUUAGUGUCUCUUUCUUCAUGUUUCCCAUCAGGAGGCUUCUUCCUUUUGAAAGCAUUCCUCACUUCUAUUUUUUGACUCUGAUUACAGCCUGUGACUUAGAGAAACAAGUUCACUAGGUAUGCGUAUUGAAGAAAAACAAAUGAGAGUUUGUGGAGUUCUGUAAUAUUAAUAGAAUAAAGUUUGUGAGUACAGCCUUUGCCCAGAUCUUUUAUGACAACUAGUUUGAUUGCUAGGACUGGCUUCAUGGGCAUGAGAUCUGAGCAGUCACUCAGGGCCCAGUGCCCAGAAGGGCUUCACGCAUGGUGAAAUGCUCCACAGUCACCAUCUUGAAAUUCUGAAUACUUUUUGAGCAAGAGGUCCUGCAUUUUCAUUUUGCUCAGGGCCCCAUAAAUUAUGUAAGCAAUCCUGAUAGUUGUUCAGAUGUCUGUUUUACUUCUGAUUUUAGAAAGUUGAAUUUCUUAGAAGUCUGGUGUCUAGAUCAAUGGGAUGUUUCUAUAUCAACCACAGAUGAACGCUUGGUCAGAUCACUGUAAAUCCUAAGUAAGUAGCGAAAAAAAUAAUUGGUGGUGUUGUCAUUUAUUGUAUUUUGAUUUUUUUAAGGGAAUGCCCUAGAAAGGAAAAAGAUAUAAUGGUAAAUGAUUUAUCUUAAGUUUGAGUGUAUUUUCCUCAUUUGCAAGUAAGUACUUUUUGAUUCUCUUAUUAAUGCAUACUUUUAAAAUAAUUUUAUUAACAUAUUAGCUGCAUAUCACAAAAUUCACCAUUUAAGUGUACAAUUCAAUGACUUUUAACAAAUGUACACAGUUGUGCAGACAGCCCUGCAAUCUUCUUUAAAACAUUUCCGUCACCCCAAUGUGAUUGCUCCUGCCCAUUUGCAUUCACACCCUCUUCCCACCCCCAGCCCCUGGCAACUGCUAACCUACUUUCUACCUGAAUAGUUUUGCCUUUUGUGGACAUUUCAAAUAAGUGGACUAAUAAAAUAUAUGACCUUUUUGUGACUCACUUCAUUCACACAGUUUCAUGUUUUUGAGGUUCAUCCAUGAUAUCGCACAUAAAUGUACACUUUCAGGCAAAGAUUCAUAUGAGGUUUGUGCAGGGGAAAUAAUCUCUACUGUUCUUAUCUGUGAGUACGCAUUCAUUUUACCUCAAAUUUCCGUUUAGAAUGGAAAGGUAACCCAAGUGAAUUGCAAAGGAUCCCCAUUUUCAACAUUUGCCCACAUACCAUUUGGCACUUCCAGAUCAACCAUUUGCUCCACCUCCUAAGAAAGUUUACACUCUAUUUCUAAAAGUCUACAUGAGCUUCAUAUUUGAUUUCAGUUACUACCAAGUACACUUUCUGGAAUUAUCACUCAAUUGCAAAGAUAUUCUGGCAGUUAUAAAGAAGCUCUUUUGAGUUAGUGUUCAUCAGUAUUAAAAAUACAGUUUUCUUAGCUUAAAAACAGAGUAAAAAUACCUUGAAUUAGAAUUCAGGCUCUGGACUCAAACAACUCUCAGCUGAAAUCUUAGGUUUACUACUCAAAGUUGUGACCUUAAAUAAGUUACUUAAUCUCUCCAAGAUUCAAUUUUCUAUAAAGCUUUAUCAUUAUUUCUGUCAUUUUUAUUUACGCUGGC